This is a long non-coding RNA of Bubalus bubalis (water buffalo), 511 nucleotides long. RefSeq lists it as uncharacterized. The transcript is spliced from 3 exons. The record is from RefSeq and is a predicted model, not a curated record. Lineage: Eukaryota; Metazoa; Chordata; Mammalia; Artiodactyla; Bovidae.
GGCAGAAGCUGGGCUGGGGCUGGAGAGCCAGGGGGAGAUGGUUUGAGGUGAGGCUGGAGCAGGGCAGGAGGAGGUCAUUCGGGGGCUCAGCCAGAGGCUGUCUUCACCCAGUGGGAGUCAUGACAGAGGCAGUGUGCUUGACCAGAUGCAUCUUGAAGCCUCAGUGCUGUGUGACUACUGGGAACCAUUGCUGCAACCCAGGGUCUUGGCCCAUGAGUCAGCCCCUCCCUGACCCUGUCACUGGGGGUGCAGGCUCCUCCUCCACAUGGGCCCCUGCUUCCCACAAAGUGAUGUGACUUGGACCUCUGAGGUGAUGGAGAAACAGGCUAGUUGCUGACGUCUGUGUUCCCGGGAUCAGCUAAAAUGGAAUUCCUGCGAGACCUGGAUAAAGAAUGGGGGCUCUGGGUUUCCACCACCCUUGGCCUGAGUGUGUGUUAGGGGGUGGUCAGUGACCUCUGGAUGAAUUUCUGUUCUCCUCCUUCUGCUUAAAAAAUAUAUAUUUAUUUAUUUA